UAUAAAUUAGUGUUUAUAUAUGCACUUUAAUUUUUGAAAUUUUAAGAAUAAUAAUUAUUAUAUUUAUAA
This 69-nucleotide transfer RNA is filed under the name Tamarixia radiata. RNAcentral describes it as "tRNA-Gln". Lineage: Eukaryota; Metazoa; Arthropoda; Insecta; Hymenoptera; Eulophidae. The record is from RNAcentral.